AAGAAUGUAGAUCUAGUGCGUAAGCACGAAAUAAACAACUUUCAACAACGGAUCUCUUGGCUCUCGCAUCGAUGAAGAACGCAGCGAAAUGCGAUAAGUAAUGUGAAUUGCAGAAUUCAGUGAAUCAUCGAAUCUUUGAACGCACCUUGCACCC
This 154-nucleotide ribosomal RNA is filed under the name Chaetospermum camelliae. Its description in RNAcentral is "5.8S ribosomal RNA". The stretch from base 37 to 154 matches the Rfam family "5.8S ribosomal RNA", at positions 1 to 118 of the family's 154-position model. Rfam says of the family: 5.8S ribosomal RNA (5.8S rRNA) is a component of the large subunit of the eukaryotic ribosome. It is transcribed by RNA polymerase I as part of the 45S precursor that also contains 18S and 28S rRNA. The record is from RNAcentral. Lineage: Eukaryota; Fungi; Basidiomycota; Agaricomycetes; Sebacinales; Sebacinaceae.